This 253-nucleotide ribosomal RNA is filed under the name uncultured bacterium. Its description in RNAcentral is "partial 16S ribosomal RNA". It matches the Rfam family "Bacterial small subunit ribosomal RNA", at positions 524 to 776 of the family's 1533-position model. The record is from RNAcentral.
UACGUAGGGUGCGAGCGUUAAUCGGAAUUACUGGGCGUAAAGCGUGCGCAGGCGGUUCGUUAAGUCAGCUGUGAAAGCCCCGGGCUUAACCUGGGAAUUGCGGUUGAAACUGGCGAACUAGAAUCUGGCAGAGGGAGGUGGAAUUCCACGUGUAGCAGUGAAAUGCGUAGAGAUGUGGAGGAACACCGAUGGCGAAGGCAGCCUCCUGGGCCAGCACUGACGCUCAUGCACGAAAGCGUGGGGAGCAAACAGG